CCUACGGGCGGCUGCAGUGGGGAAUAUUGCACAAUGGGGGAAACCCUGAUGCAGCGACGCCGCGUGAGUGAAGAAGGAAUUCGGUAUGUAAAGCUCUAUCAGCAGGGAAGAAAAUGACGGUACGUGAGUAAGAAGCCCCGGCUAACUACGUGCCAGCAGCCGCGGUAAUACGUAGGGGGCAAGCGUUAUCCGGAUUUACUGGGGGUAAAGGGGGCGUAGACGGCCGUGCAAGUCUGGAGUGAAAGGCGGGGGCUCAACCCCCGGACUGCUCUGGAAACUGUCCGGCUGGAGUGCAGGAGAGGUAAGUGGAAUUCCUCGUGUAGCGGUGAAAUGCGUAGAUAUUAGGAGGAACUCCAGUGGCGAAGGCGGCUUACUGGACUGUAACUGACGUUGAGGCUCGAAAGCGUGGGGAGCAAACAGGAUUAGAUACCCUUGUAGUC
This 440-nucleotide ribosomal RNA is filed under the name uncultured bacterium. RNAcentral's name for it is "partial 16S ribosomal RNA". It matches the Rfam family "Bacterial small subunit ribosomal RNA", at positions 338 to 795 of the family's 1533-position model. The record is from RNAcentral.